This 497-nucleotide ribosomal RNA is filed under the name uncultured bacterium. RNAcentral's name for it is "partial 16S ribosomal RNA". It matches the Rfam family "Bacterial small subunit ribosomal RNA", at positions 28 to 507 of the family's 1533-position model. The record is from RNAcentral.
GAUGAACGCUGGCGGCGUGCCUAAUACAUGCAAGUCGAGCGAACAGACGAGGAGCUUGCUCCUUUGACGUUAGCGGCGGACGGGUGAGUAACACGUGGAUAACCUACCUAUAAGACUGGGAUAACUUCGGGAAACCGGAGCUAAUACCGGAUAACAUGUUGAACCGCAUGGUUCAACAGUGAAAGACGGUCUUGCUGUCACUUAUAGAUGGAUCCGCGCCGCAUUAGCUAGUUGGUAAGGUAACGGCUUACCAAGGCAACGAUGCGUAGCCGACCUGAGAGGGUGAUCGGUCACACUGGAACUGAGACACGGUCCAGACUCCUACGGGAGGCAGCAGUAGGGAAUCUUCCGCAAUGGGCGAAAGCCUGACGGAGCAACGCCGCGUGAGUGAAGAAGGUCUUCGGAUCGUAAAACUCUGUUAUUAGGGAAGAACAAAUGUGUAAGUAACUAUGCACGUCUUGACGGUACCUAAUCAGAAAGCCACGGCUAACUACGUG